AAGACGGCAGUAUAAAACACCAGCUACCAUUUAAACCAAAACAGGAGAAGAAGACUGAGAUGCUUCAGACUGCGCAUGCGUUUAGUUUUGAAUUUCUGACCGGACCACGCCUGACCCUCCUUCGGUUAAUUUCGGUAAUUCUGUCGGAAAAAAAGUUGCAGUUGGUGUUUGGUAUCUAAUAUGGAAAAGAUCCUGAAAAAUUGCUUUGUUGAUGAGUUGUGCUCCUGUCUGGAUAAGACCUACUCAAAAAAAGGUCCUGGCUGGGAUAGCUUUUGUCAGCUCCCUACGUAUUGAUGUGUUAUAGCUGGACUGCGGAGCUUUCAUGUGAUGGAGGCAGAAUUUCUUACUACUACUACUCCCCUUCUCUAAAAGUUCCUUACACAACUUGACCAACGCACUGAGCAGCUCAUGAAAGUGUUGAACAAAGGAGGCUCUGCAGGGAGGAAAAUCAGGAUGAUUAUGGCCCCAAUGACACAGGAAGCCGAGGGAGCUUGAGAAGUCACCUUUGGUAUCUACAGCAUCGAUGUUAAGGGAGGUGAUACCGCCACUCCUCCAGCCGAUGUUGGAAUUGUGAUUCAGGGUGUUGAAGUUCUGCACGACUUGAGAGACUUUGCCUCUGCAUGUGCCCUGAGUUAUCCUAACAGACUGAAAGCCUUCUUUGAAGUACUUCAAAAGUUCUUCCUUCAAAUGGAUGCUUGCAGACUCUCAACCAAGGUACAGCUGCUCAUUAACUAACUGUACAAAUGAGACAAUCACUGAUUUGGAUGCUGAAUGUUUCAUCGAACAGGAGAAAUAUUUUGGGCUGAAACUGAAAAAAAUUAUCUGUUUGAAAAUAGAGCAGAGAAACUACACUUGAGGAAAACAACCAAUUUCUUUGCAAACUUUUGAAAAACUUACCAUACAUGAAAAGUGGUAGUUGAGUGGCACUACUAGAGAAGUGAUGUAGAAUUGAGAGACCAUGCUGCGCAAAAACGGUUGAUAUAUAACUAUGGCUAUUUUGUGGAUGUUUUAACACUAAGCUGCAUCAAAAACAACUGCAAGGAAGUUCAAUCAUCAGACCAUCUUAACCAUCGUUAAAGAAAUCCUACUUUAGAGUAGAUGUUUGUUAAAGUGUUGCCACUGAAAACUUUAUUUUAGAUGUUAAGGCUGUUAGAUGGAGAGACUAUUAUUUUGUAAACAAAUUUGAAAACUGUAAAAAGUAUUAUUUAUUAAACCAUAAAAAGUGAGUUAUUUAUUAAAGUGUGAAUUAUUUAUAUAUUUGCUGUCAAUCGAUCGACUAAUAUUUGCAGCUGUAAUUCCAUGUGUUACAAAUGUGUACAUGCAUUGAAAUGUUAGUUUAUAGAAUGGCACCAAAAUGUUACUGAAUCACUGCUGUGUUGAUGAAUAAAGGAAAUAAGAAAACUA
This is a long non-coding RNA of Perca fluviatilis (European perch), 1404 nucleotides long. RefSeq lists it as uncharacterized. The record is from RefSeq and is a predicted model, not a curated record. The transcript has 5 exons. Lineage: Eukaryota; Metazoa; Chordata; Actinopteri; Perciformes; Percidae.